AGGGGAGGUUUAGCAGCACGGGCAGCUGGGCGGCCCCAGCCUCUCCGUGCCCAGGACAGAGCCGGUGGCCUGGUGGCGGCAGGACAGUGCUCCAGGAUCGUGAUGGCUUUGGAAAAGUUGUGAGUGAAUUAGAAAUGCAAACUGUGUGGAAAGAAAGGACGAGAGAGACGUGGCCUGAAGGCUGUCCCAAGGACUCAUCCUGACAGGUAGGAAGCAGGGCUGCAGUCCCAUGCUGCCUUUCCAGCAUGGCUUUAUCUGAAGUCACCUCCACUUCACCAGAUAAAGAAAGUGAUAUUGCCCCUGCAUUUUCCAACCAUACUUCCCAGGAAAUCUGGGCUGUGCUUCCAGAACCUCCAGAUUUGAGUGUGCAUGUUUUCUAACAUAAUUACAUUUCAGAGUUGAUUGCUUAAAGUACCUGCGAUGAGGUCACAUCCAUAGCAAAUGGACAGGGAGAACUUACUUGCUUUUUAUCAUAGCAACCAGAUGCUUGAAAAGAGUUCUCUUUCAGUCAUCCUUUCAAAAAUCCUACAUGAUCUCAUACAUUUGUGUCCCUUCAACUUAGCUGCGUGCUUUUUAACAUGUUUCAUUUAUUUUUAUCUUAUAGUAUAUGAUUCAAAGGGAAAAGCAGCACAGAGCAGCUGCAGAUAACCUAGUGAGGCCUGAUGUGCGCCUAAGAUAAGGAUGCUCAGAGUUAAGCAUGCAAAUCAGCUUUAUCCGAAGCCUGAACUUAAGAGAAGAUGACUCAGGGAGAAGUGAAGGCGAGUGCAUACCAGCACGUAUGAAAAUUUUGAUAGCAUCAGUCCUGAUUUUUGCUCUAGCUUUCUGUGUUUUCUCUAGUUCUAAAGGGGAGAGCUAUGCUGCUUCCAAAAGUGUAUU
Molecule: long non-coding RNA, 876 nt
Organism: Cygnus olor (mute swan)
Lineage: Eukaryota; Metazoa; Chordata; Aves; Anseriformes; Anatidae
Exons: 3
Source: RefSeq, a predicted model, not a curated record